This 72-nucleotide transfer RNA is filed under the name Urocitellus parryii (Arctic ground squirrel). Its description in RNAcentral is "Spermophilus parryii (Arctic ground squirrel) tRNA". It matches the Rfam family "tRNA". From Rfam's summary of the family: Transfer RNA (tRNA) molecules are approximately 80 nucleotides in length. Their secondary structure includes four short double-helical elements and three loops (D, anti-codon, and T loops). The record is from Rfam by way of RNAcentral. RNAcentral also lists the same sequence under 1 other name. Lineage: Eukaryota; Metazoa; Chordata; Mammalia; Rodentia; Sciuridae.
UGGGGUGUGGCUCAGAGGUAGAGCACUUGCCUAGCAUGUGUGAGGCACUGGGUUUGAUCCUCAGCACCACAU